UUUGCGACACGCCUUCACCGGUGACUUUGGUGUGAAGCAGCCUACUAAGGCACGCGGUGAAUGCCAAUCGCUCUUG
Molecule: microRNA precursor, 76 nt
Filed under: Ascaris suum (pig roundworm)
Lineage: Eukaryota; Metazoa; Nematoda; Chromadorea; Rhabditida; Ascarididae
Description: microRNA asu-mir-124 precursor
Gene: asu-mir-124
Rfam family: mir-124 microRNA precursor family
About the family: The mature ~21nt miRNAs are processed from hairpin precursor sequences represented here, in this case originating from the 3' arm. The bounds of the precursors are predicted based on conservation and base pairing and are not generally known.
Source: miRBase by way of RNAcentral